AGAGACAGCAGUCGCCACGGGAAUACGUAGGGUGCAAGCGUUAAUCGGAAUUACUGGGCGUAAAGCGUGCGCAGGCGGUUAUAUAAGACAGAUGUGAAAUCCCCGGGCUCAACCUGGGAACUGCAUUUGUGACUGUAUAGCUAGAGUACGGCAGAGGGGGAUGGAAUUCCGCGUGUAGCAGUGAAAUGCGUAGAUAUGCGGAGGAACACCGAUGGCGAAGGCAAUCCCCUGGGCCUGUACUGACGCUCAUGCACGAAAGCGUGGGGAGCAAACAGGAUUAGAUACCCCGGUAGUCCCUGUCUCUUAUAA
This 309-nucleotide ribosomal RNA is filed under the name uncultured bacterium. RNAcentral describes it as "partial 16S ribosomal RNA". It matches the Rfam family "Bacterial small subunit ribosomal RNA", at positions 504 to 809 of the family's 1533-position model. The record is from RNAcentral.